CCUACGGGAGGCAGCAGUGAGGAAUAUUGGUCAAUGGACGAGAGUCUGAACCAGCCAAGUAGCGUGAAGGAUGACUGCCCUAUGGGUUGUAAACUCCUUUUAUAUGGGAAUAAAACAGGGUAUGCAUACCCUCUUGUAUGUACCAUAUGAAUAAGGCUCGGCUAACUACGUGCCAGCAGCCGCGGUCAUACGUAGGGUCCGAGCAUUAUCCGGAGUGACUGGGUGUAAAGAGUUUCGUAGGUGGCAUAAUAAGUAGCUAGUGAAAUCUGGUGGCUCAACCAUUCAGACUAUUAGGUAAACUGUGUAGCUCGAGACCGUUAGGGGUAACUGGAAUUUCUAGUGUAGGAGUGAAAUCCGUAGAUAUUAGAAGGAACACCAAUAGCGUAGGCAGGUUGCUGGGACGGUUCUGACACUAAGGCACGAAAGCGUAGGGAGCAAACGGGAUUAGAUACCCUGGUAGUC
This 462-nucleotide ribosomal RNA is filed under the name uncultured bacterium. RNAcentral's name for it is "partial 16S ribosomal RNA". It matches the Rfam family "Bacterial small subunit ribosomal RNA", at positions 338 to 795 of the family's 1533-position model. The record is from RNAcentral.